This 460-nucleotide ribosomal RNA is filed under the name uncultured bacterium. Its description in RNAcentral is "partial 16S ribosomal RNA". It matches the Rfam family "Bacterial small subunit ribosomal RNA", at positions 338 to 795 of the family's 1533-position model. The record is from RNAcentral.
CCUACGGGGGGCAGCAGUGAGGAAUAUUGGUCAAUGGACGAGAGUCUGAACCAGCCAAGUAGCGUGAAGGAUGAAUGCCCUAUGGGUUGUAAACUUCUUUUAUAAAGGAAUAAAACGAGGCACGUGUGCCUUUUUGCAUGUACUUUAUGAAUAAGGAUCGGCUAACUCCGUGCCAGCAGCCGCGGUAAUACGGAGGAUCCGAGCGUUAUCCGGAUUUAUUGGGUUUAAAGGGAGCGUAGAUGGGUUGUUAAGUCAGUUGUGAAAGUUUGCGGCUCAACCGUAAAAUUGCAAUUGAUACUGGCAGUCUUGAGUACAGUUGAGGUAGGCGGAAUUCGUGGUGUAGCGGUGAAAGGCUUAGAUAUCACGAAGAACCCCGAUUGCGAAGGCAGCUUACUAAACUGUGACUGACAUUGAUGCUCGAAAGUGUGGGUAUCAAACAGGAUUAGAUACCCGUGUAGUC